GGUUGGCACCCAUCUGACCGCCAACGCAUGUUCUUCAUAUAAGCAACGAAGCCAGGAAAGUACGGUGACGUGGGGAAAAGGCAGACUCAAAUACUACCUCCAAAGGCGGAACAUUGCCAGGUCAACUCGGUCCUUCCGUUCCAUGUGAUGCCAUCCAUCCAGAAGAGACACACAGAAAAAAGGAUUACUUGAAUGUCUUUAGGUGCUGAACAACCAACAACAUGAACAAUUGAUAGGGUCAGCGUGCCCACUCAGCAGGGAUGAGCAGGAGAGGAGGUGGGAAGAGGAGCGAGGACAAAGGAGGAUGAGCACGAUAAUAUCAGAUUGGCAGUACUGUAUAUGACGAUUAUGAUAGUAUCACGAUGCAGCUAGUAGCUUAUAAUCGACAGACUGUCCUCGUGUCUCUCUGUCCAAGUAUAUUUGCGACCAUUUGCGUGUACGUGACUCACUUUCUUCACAUACUAGCGUACUUGUGUCCUAGUUGACGUGUCCUAGUUUACCUGUAUUCCAGAGUGUACAGUAUGUAGCCUGGCGUAUUUGUGUUCUUGUCUCGGUUGUUGGCACAAGGAUUGACCCUUGUCUUGCGUACCAAUUAACAGUUAAAAACACAACAUAACAAAGCAUUGUUUUAUUUGUAGUAUUUCGAAAUGCAGCUUUAAAAAGAAGACUUGCACAGAGCCCAAAAUAAGCGUUAAAGUCUGCUUGUUUCAAGCUGUUUAGUUUUUACUCCCUGUUGAAGUUAACUGUAAACCGCACACAUAAAACAAGAGUAUCGAACAUUGUGUAUUGAAACACCAAAA
This is a long non-coding RNA of Phyllopteryx taeniolatus (common seadragon), 800 nucleotides long. RefSeq lists it as uncharacterized. The record is from RefSeq and is a predicted model, not a curated record. Lineage: Eukaryota; Metazoa; Chordata; Actinopteri; Syngnathiformes; Syngnathidae. The transcript has 4 exons.